Molecule: ribosomal RNA, 304 nt
Filed under: uncultured bacterium
Lineage: Bacteria
Description: partial 16S ribosomal RNA
Rfam family: Bacterial small subunit ribosomal RNA
Source: RNAcentral
CAGCAGCAGCCGCGGUAAUACGGAGGGGGCUAGCGUUGUUCGGAAUUACUGGGCGUAAAGCGCACGUAGGCGGCUUGGUAAGUUAGAGGUGAAAGCCCGGAGCUCAACUCCGGAAUUGCCUUUAAGACUGCCGAGCUAGUAGGUGAGAGAGGUAAGUGGAAUUCCGAGUGUAGAGGUGAAAUUCGUAGAUAUUCGGAAGAACACCAGUGGCGAAGGCGGCUUACUGGCUCAUUCUAGACGCUGAGGUGCGAAAGCGUGGGGAGCAAACAGGAUUAGAUACCCCCGUAGUCCCUGUCUCUUAUAC